This is a long non-coding RNA of Mytilus californianus (California mussel), 834 nucleotides long. RefSeq lists it as uncharacterized. Lineage: Eukaryota; Metazoa; Mollusca; Bivalvia; Mytilida; Mytilidae. The record is from RefSeq and is a predicted model, not a curated record. The transcript has 3 exons.
UUCUGCAAGUGUUAACUUUUAAAACAGAUAGAAACAAAAUUGAUAAAAAUUCCGCAAACCCAAAAUUUGCAAAACGUUGUUCAUUUGGGAAUUCAGGAUUUGUGAGUGUUACAUUAAGUGUUGUUCUACAAUUUGCGCUUUUUGAGGGUCACUAAGAUGAUGUCAUUCUCUUUCAAAAAAUUAAUUUGGAAUUGUAUUGAAAGUAUGUUUUCCGUUAAACAUCUAUAUUAUUUGGAAAGAGUUUCUAAAAUAUUUCAGUCGCUGUGAUAAUAUAUUUGAAUCCUACAUGCAGAGGAAUUAUAUAUAAAAAUUUGUACACGUUCUAUCAAAUCAUUUGUUUAAAAAAGAUGUUUUCUAAAACUACUGUAUACUCUUAAGUAUUGAUCCAUUGAAUAUUGUAUAUUUCUAUUAAUAAAAUUAAAAUUAUUUGAGGUGAUGAAAUAAAGCUUUGUUUCAAAUAAUUUGUAGAUAAUUGAUCAUUUUACAAACCAUUUCUCAGAACAAUGAUUUCCUGGUAGAAACAUUUUGACACAUCAGCAUGCCAUAUAAGGCUUGAAUGUGACUGGACUAUCUAUUAAGAAGCUAUUCGACACGAGGGUUUAAUAGUAAGAUAUGUUUUCAAACAAGAUAGAAGUGACACACAUUUUCAUGCAUUGAUAAGAAAUUCAAAUCAAAAAGAAAAUCAACUGGAGUGAAAAAGUUGAUGGAGAGCCAAAUUGUUGAAUGUCUGGACCACCAAAGAUCAGGACAUCGGAGAAAGUCUCUUUCGUUCCUCUACUACAAUUCCUUUUGUUUACAUUGAAAUGUAACGUUAUAUAAAAAUGAGUAACAAUC